GACGAACGCUGGCGGCGUGCUUAACACAUGCAAGUCGAACGGAAGGCCCUGCUUUUGUGGGGUGCUCGGGUGGCGAACGGGUGAGUAAAAAGGGAGUAACCUGCCCUUGACUUUGGGAUUACUUCAGGAAACUGGGGCUAAUACCGGAUUGGAGCCUCUGGUGCCUGGUGGGGGUUGGAAAGUUUCGGCGGUUGGGGAUGGACUCGCGGCUUAUCAGCUUGCUGGUGGGGUAGUGGCUUACCAAGGCUUUGACGGGUAGCCGGCCUGAGAGGGUGACCGGCCACAUUGGGACUGAGAUACGGCCCAGACUCCUACGGGAGGCAGCAGUGGGGAAUAUUGCACAAUGGGCGGAAGCCUGAUGCAGCAACGCCGCGUGCGGGAUGACGGCCUUCGGGUUGUAAACCGCUUUCGCCUGUGACGAAGCGUGAGUGACGGUAAUGGGUAAAGAAGCACCGGCUAACUACGUG
Molecule: ribosomal RNA, 467 nt
Filed under: uncultured bacterium
Lineage: Bacteria
Description: partial 16S ribosomal RNA
Rfam family: Bacterial small subunit ribosomal RNA
Source: RNAcentral